This 261-nucleotide long non-coding RNA is filed under the name Lathyrus oleraceus (garden pea). RNAcentral's name for it is "Pisum sativum (pea) long non-coding RNA (PSAT_LNC011980)". Lineage: Eukaryota; Viridiplantae; Streptophyta; Magnoliopsida; Fabales; Fabaceae. The record is from RNAcentral.
UUUCGAAUUAAUUUUGAUUACUUAAACUAGUGUAAUUUUAUUUGAUUUAAUUUGUUUCUAAAUCAUUUUUACACUAAUAAGCUCAUUAAGAGCAUUUUGGUAUUAUUAAAAAUUAGAAAACCCUAGUGUACCAUAUAAAUACUAACAAUUGGUAUUGAAAGGGGACCAACCAUAAACUAUUGAACAACGUUGCAAUCUCAAUGUCUCUUUCUUAUUCAUUUUAAACUACAACAAAAAGAAUUUAGAAAAAAAACAAUGAAC